UUCUUUGCAUUGUAAAAGAAAUAUUCAUUCCUGAUGAAGGUGCAGUCCUGAUAAAGCUGUAAUCCUGAUGAGGAUGCAAAUAAGAAAGAAAUUCUGAUGUAGUUUUUAUCGAAGUGUUAAUUAUUAAUUAUUCUAAUGUAGUUUUUAUCGGAGUGUUAAUUAUCAACAGUUUUUGGAGUUUGGUCUGGGGCAGGACCUCUUCGCUCAGUUCAGUGCAGACGCUCUGUGGCUCUCCUGGAGUGUGACAUGGUAAUGCAGCUCCUUCAAGGGGACAGAAGGAGGGGCCCCAGCUUUCGCCACUUAUGUGUCAGCUGGGUCAGCCUAGUCUUGGGGCCCCAGGGAAGUGAUCACAUGCCAGCAUUUUUAUACUGUGCUGAGCAAUUUUCCAAUUCCAGAUUUUGCAUUUUCCAGGCCUCUACGUGGCGAUGGAAUGGCAUGUAUGAGGAAAGAAGGCUGACGAGUGGCAAUCAAGGUGCAAGAGAACUUGUAUUCAGAAGGAAAGAGUCAAAUGUCAUGAAUAGGACAACAAAACACCUGUCCAACUCAGAAGACGUACGGUGAUCCAGGCUGGUGACGGGAAGACGUGACAUGCUGUUGAAGUCCUGGUCACAGUGAGUCAGCAACACUCACAAGGAGCUUGGAGUUGACACUACCGAGACGCUUCGAGAUGAACACACCUGAGACCAUCUAGCUUUAAAUGAUCAUGGAACAAAGGCUCCAGCCAGUUCCAGGUAAAGACACCACCCCUGGCCAUCAAGGAGCUACCCUGCCUUCAGUAAACAGAGAAAGGUGAGAGCUCUGUGAUCCCCAGUAGGUAGGGUCUGCACCCCUUCAUUCUUUGCUGCUGCAUUCUUCUGUGGGGUUUUUUUUUGGCACAUUUUGUCCAAUUCUUUGUUCAAGAUGCCAAGAACCUGGACACCCUCGUCUGAUAACACAAUCACCUCCUAGGUAACAACCUCCUAAUAUCAUCACCUUGGGGGUUAACGUGUGGUAUAUAAAUGUGGUGAGAAUGUAAUAAUUCUGUCCAUUGCAUUGGGCAAAUGGAGGCUGUAGGAGCAGCAUCAUUCUUUACAACAGUCAGUGUUUUGGGGCUGCUGAGUGUCCCUGAAUCCAAGGCCUGCCCCACCCCCACCUGGGUUUUCAUACUACUCUGGGCUACUUCUUCCAGGUCCUGGACCCCUGGCAGAGGCUCUGGCUCCCAUAGUAUCUCCUGAGACUCAAUCCCUGCCCCUGAAACGAUUUAUGCCCUUGUCAAGUUCUAGGAAACUACUUGAGCCACACCACGGUUUGUACCUGUCUGUGCAGCGGUUCCUCAGUCUGCCACGUAACCCCCUCUGUCAUCAUUUGGAUUUCAGCUCCAGACUCACCAUCUCACUGAGGUCUUCAUACCUGUAUCACUCUAAUAAAAGUAGCUCUUGAGUCCCCGUUGUCUCUCUCCAUCUCACCCCUGCUGCAACGUCUUCAUUACAGUUGUCACUAUGGAAAAUGAUCGGAUUCAUCUGCUGGUGUGUUUUCAUACUUAUUGUCUGAAAAUCCAACACUAACCUCCACACCUAGAAAAGCCCCCAAACAGAUAGUCAAUGCCCAAUAAAUCCUCGUGGAAUGAACGAAACUAAGCUCUGCACAUAGCCACAUUGGACAGUUCUAACUUCCCGUCUGCUGUGUUUCUGUUGGCUGCUACUCCUGGACUCUCUCUCAAUGGUUUUUACAA
Non-coding RNA from Callithrix jacchus (white-tufted-ear marmoset), 1711 nucleotides. The record is from RefSeq and is a predicted model, not a curated record. NCBI's taxonomy places the organism in Eukaryota, Metazoa, Chordata, Mammalia, Primates, Cebidae.